AGGCCAAAGGGCUUGGGGUGAGGAGGUUUAAGGCCUUGCUUGAGCAAGGACAGGGGACCGCGUGUUCGCCCCUGGCAGCCCUCGGGGCCUGAGCCACACUUGCUUCCUCGCGUGGCCCACGAGCAACAGGCUCUGAGGUCGGGGCUCCCCAGGCGCCGGGGCUCCUCCUGCCCGCGGUGCUCGCGUGCGUCAGGGCCGGCGCCUCCCGCCCGUGCGUGCUGUGCAGCCUGCCCAAGCUGUGGACUUGAAAUAAAAUCAACUGUUGGGUCAGGUCCAGGAUCUCCUUGUACAAAACAGACUCCCUCUGGCUCGAUGAACAUGUGUCUGAAAAAAAUUAAAAGGAGUGCAGCCCAUCACUGCACCAUCAUCGGUUUGGGGAAAAAAGACGAGGGAACAACACUGAGAGAGAAUGUUCCUUCUGAGAAAUAGAUCUCGAUGAAGUUCAGAGCAGGCUCCUUCAGCAAGAAGAUUGUCUGUUCACCGCUUGACUGCAGCAACCAUCAACUGAACUAGAAUUUGACCGCGUAGUGAUUUAUACCACUUGCCUUCGUGUGGUCCGGACAACCUUCGAAAGAUGUGAGCUGGUUAGAAAGAUCUUCCAAAACCAUCGAGUAAAAUUUGAAGAGAAAAACAUAGCUCUGAACGGUGACUAUGGAAAAGAGUUAGACGAACGGUGCCGACGGGUUUCCGAAGCUCCCUCCCUCCCUGUUGUGUUCAUCGAUGGCCAUUAUCUUGGGGGUGCUGAGAAAAUUUUGUCAAUGAAUGAAUCAGGAGAACUGCAAGACCUCUUAACCAAAAUUGAGAGGGUACAGCAUCCACAUGAGUGUCCCUCCUGUGGCGGCUUCGGCUUCCUUCCAUGCGCCGUCUGCCACGGGAGCAAGAUGUCAGUGUUUCGAAACUGCUUUACAGACUCUUUCAAGGCCCUGAAGUGCACGGCUUGCAACGAGAAUGGCCUUCAGCGCUGUAAGAGCUGCGCUGGUUAGACAGAGCCGCCACGCAGGCGUGCCUCGUUUCAUCGAAUGACAGCAAUAAUGUGAUUUGUACUUUUUUUUUAAAUGGUUCUGUUUCUGGAUUAAUCAAUAAACUUUGUUUAUUAUAAUUUCCUCUGGAAUUUUUGCUGUGACCACUUUCAUUGAUUUAUUAAAUAAAUGUUUAUUCAGCAGGUACAAUGUGCCAAGCCCUGUGCCAGGCCCUGGUUUCU
RNA transcript from Camelus dromedarius (Arabian camel), 1201 nucleotides. RefSeq lists it as uncharacterized. Lineage: Eukaryota; Metazoa; Chordata; Mammalia; Artiodactyla; Camelidae. The record is from RefSeq and is a predicted model, not a curated record. The transcript is spliced from 6 exons.